RNAcentral lists this ribosomal RNA (497 nucleotides) under uncultured bacterium. RNAcentral's name for it is "partial 16S ribosomal RNA". It matches the Rfam family "Bacterial small subunit ribosomal RNA", at positions 28 to 507 of the family's 1533-position model. The record is from RNAcentral.
GAUGAACGCUGGCGGCGUGCCUAAUACAUGCAAGUCGAGCGAACAGACGAGGAGCUUGCUCCUCCGACGUUAGCGGCGGACGGGUGAGUAACACGUGGAUAACCUACCUAUAAGACUGGGAUAACUUCGGGAAACCGGAGCUAAUACCGGAUAAUAUAUUGAACCGCAUGGUUCAAUGGUGAAAGACGGUUUUGCUGUCACUUAUAGAUGGAUCCGCGCCGCAUUAGCUAGUUGGUAAGGUAACGGCUUACCAAGGCAACGAUGCGUAGCCGACCUGAGAGGGUGAUCGGCCACACUGGAACUGAGACACGGUCCAGACUCCUACGGGAGGCAGCAGUAGGGAAUCUUCCGCAAUGGGCGAAAGCCUGACGGAGCAACGCCGCGUGAGUGAUGAAGGUCUUCGGAUCGUAAAACUCUGUUAUUAGGGAAGAACAAAUGUGUAAGUAACUAUGCACGUCUUGACGGUACCUAAUCAGAAAGCCACGGCUAACUACGUG